GUUUUAUAAGAAAGCUAACACUUAAUCGCUGCCUCAUUAGCCCUACCCAAACUAAACUAACAUGAAACAUCAAUCACUAUAAUAAAAACAAUAAAAAUAAACAAGAAUUUUUAUAAUAUUUUGUUUUUGCUUCUAAACAGUGUUUCAACUUAGUUCAUGUAUCUACAUAUACUCUCAUAUAUACAUAUACAUAUGUGUUUAUAUGUGUGUAUGUAUACAAGUAAGUUGGAAUAAAAAGCGAAUCACAACGAUUUGUAUUGCUGUCAAUCCACAAAGUGCAAAUAUGUAUGUACUUAUUAAUAUUUAUAUAUAAUACAUGAACCUACACAUAUGUAUGUAUAUACAUAUAUACACCAAAGAGGAACUAUUUCUAGGGAAAAAAUGCAUUUUUGCAUGCAAUUACAUAUCUUAGCAAAUAUACAUACAUAUGUAUAUUUUAUAUUUGUAUACAUAUACAUAUGUCUCAGUGUAUGUACGUGCGAGCUUAUGGAAAAUAACAGCAGUCAACGUGGAGCACAUGUUUCCAGCAAUCAUGAUUACAGCGCUAUAGCCAAGGCGAAAAAAGUCGUACUAUAUAAAUAUAUACAAACAUAUUCAUAUAUAUAUAUAUCUGUAUAAAUAUAUGUAUGUAUAUAUUUAUAUCAACCGGUAUGCCAGUCCGUGUUCUUUAGCACUCAUUCAACUUUUUAAGAGACACCGCACAGCGCUGCUUUUUUAAUUAGCAUUCUGCUGCUACUCCUACAAUUUAUUUCCCCACAGCAGCGCUUGCGACGCACACGCACACUCACUUACACAUAUAGAGAUAAAUGCAAUGCAGGCUGUUAUUUCUCCUCCGCUGCACAUAGCUGUGGGGUAUUUAGCAGCUAACUAACUCAGCUUGUGUGUAUGCAUUGCGCUACGAGUUCAAAGCUCACCUGUAUCUGUAACAGCUACACACACACACACAUACAACCACAUGUAACUGCAUAGUUCAACUUGUAAACCGCCCUCCGCGCCACACUUUUAUCAAUUUAUCUACACCGCUAUACGCUUGGGUGUGUGCGCAGUUUGGCUGCAAAGGGGCGCGCAAGCAGAAAAUAAAAAUGGCCGCGGUUUUCCAAGCCCUUACCGCCGCCAAAUACCCAGCGCUCAUUCUAAAAAUUAUAGAAUAUACUUAUACACACAUAUAUACUGUAAGUAACUGUUUUGUUGCUACGCUGCGCCGUGCUUUGUCCAUUGCUCGUGUUGUUGUUGUGUGUGUGUUUCUAAAAACCACCCUCCGCUGGCUAGCCAAGCAUGCAGAAAAUUUUCCCCAUUUUUUCACGUUCAACUACUUUGCGCCCUCUUUAGCUGGCAUUUUUAUUACUUUUCUUGCUUUUCAGCGCGCGUUUUGUUUUUAUUGUUUUUGCGCGCGCUGCGCCUUGUUUGCUUGUUACUGUGCGAACGUGCGCUUAGUUAGUUAGCGCGUGGCACGUCAAAUUUGCUGUCGACCGUGCGCGCGCUCUCGCUGCACGGCGCGCGCGGCGUCUCUUUUCGCAAGUGUCUAUUUGCGGCAGAGCGCAAUACGUGGCACAGCAGCAACAACAAUAAUAACAACAAAAAUAGUAAUGAAAACAACAGAAAUAGUAAUAAAAACAACAAAAAUAGCAAUAAUAACAACAACACUUGUACUCUUAGGUAUUUGCGCGCUGCAAGAGCACCCUCGUUGGGUGGUGCGCGUGGCAGCGCUUCGUGUUGCAAGUUGCUUACGUGGCUAGUGCGCUGUUGCUGUUGUUGCUGCUGGCUUCUUGUUUUGUUAUUUGCGCUUGCAGGCGCUGUAGAGGGUGGCAACUGCAAACUCAAGUUGGUGUUCCAUUUUUAAAAAUGAACACAUGGCCACAGGCACUCACACAUACACGCGCACAGACACAUUUGCGAAUUAUUUUUGACACACACACACAGACAUAAGCGAAAAAAAUUGUAUGAAAUCAGAUUUUCAACCACCACAGCUGUUUGUGUGUGUGUGUGUAGCGCAAAAAAUAGCAUACCCACACACACAGAGGCGGCUAUAAAAAACUUUGUUUCCCUUGUGCGAAGCAGUUCGCAAAAAGCAAAAAAAAAGUAGAAGAAAAUAUGUGGAAAAAAUUUGAAAAAAUGUAGAAAAAGCGCACGCUAUUUAGGGGAAACGCUGCGCGGCAACAGCAAAUCCGGAAAAUGAGGCAUAAAUUAUUUUUAUAGGUGGAAUAUGCGCGCGCGUUCGCUAUGGUUAAGUGGCGGCAUGGUGGUGGCGCGGCAUUUACCACAUACAUACACAACUAAAUAUAUAUAUCUACAUUAUAAUUAUUUAUGUGCGCGCUUGUGUGUAUGCGCGCGCCUUUGGCGGCUUGUCGCUGUUUUUAAUUUAAUUUCUUCCUUUUUCUUUAGCGCGGACACUGAGUGUUGUUGUUUUUGCUGCCGCCACAUUUUGCGUAUCGAAUUUUUGUGGCGCAUUUGGCAUGUCAGGCCAGCAGCAGCUUCAUUGCCGCCUUGGCAAUCGCGCACGCCUCAGUACACUUUCGACUUUGGCAUAUCGUUGUCGCCGGCCACGCAUUCGCCGCUUUCUGCAACAACGCACAGCACAAGCGGCGCUCGGCGCUUGACGUCACUGUGGCAUCACUGAUUUUGGCAGCAGCGCGCACACACAAACAAAAAAAGAAACACAGCGCGCUGCCACAACGCGCGCUCAUUAUUUUGCCGCCGCUUGGCGCACAACAUUGCGCUGCCACUUGUUUCUUGCAACACGCUGCGUCGUGCUCCAUUUUUUCCUCUUGCACAAUUCGAUCUGCAACAUUUAUUUCAACUAACACCGCGGCGUUUUUUUCACAAAUUUAACUGUUGUGCUUUUUUUGCGACUUUCGGGCGCUUAAUCUCCGCGUGCGCAUAACCAACGCCGCGUCCAAUCGGCUGUGGCUCGGUUAUCAUUCGGUAGUUCGUGCUGCCGCCACAACAGUCGGCCGGUAAAGCACAUAUGUUGAGUUUAUAACGCGCUUUCGGUUGCUAUUACUGCUUUUUUUGUUGUUGUUAUUGGUGAUGGUGUUGGCGUUGGUGGUGCUUGCGCUGACGCUGUGAUGGCCGUUACUGCCGCCCCCUGGCAUGCUGUUAACAAGCGCGCACACACACACACGCGCGCGACGUGCAGCGGGCAGGCGCGCCUCAGCAGCAGCAUCUCUGUGACGGCGGCGCUGACUAGCCGGCCGGUCGGUCGGCCGUUUGGCGUUGCUUGGCUGUCAGCCAGGCUCCGUGGCUUAUCCUGCAUCCUGGCCUCGUGCAGUUGUCCAACAGCAGCCGGUGUUGGCAGUAGUACAUCAGCUUGUCGUCGUCGCUGACACAUUGAUAAAUAAAUCUUAAUCAACUUCAAAAUUACUAUUCAGUCAGCGCCAGAGCAUGUAACAACAGCAGCAACAAGCUUGGCGCAACAUCAUAUUAAUUCCACAUAAAAGCAAAAUGUCGUCGCAAUGCUAACUAACUGGUGCGCCAUGGCGUCGUAGCCAGAUAUGUUAUAAUCCGAGUGUCAGUUGUUUAAUUUACCGCGUACGCUCGGCCGUUCAACGCUCCGCUCGCUCGUAUAACAACAACACUAACUUUGCACUAACUUUUGCUUAACUGCAAAUGAUUUAUGGCCAAGAGACAAUGAAACCGAAUCUCCGUAUACAAAAGUGCCGCUAACACUGGUCGCAAAUGCACCUAUGAUUGCAUAUGAACGUCGCAUAACGGUUCUUGUUGUCAUUUGUCGUUUGGUGCGUUCGAGUUUUCAUUUGGUUUGGUUUUCGGCUGCUAUUCCGUUUGUUGUGUGUUGCCGGCUUGUUGGUUGUCGCCUGUCAGUGUUUUCGACUGCCGGACGGACAGACGCUCACAUGUGCUCGCCUAUACAUAUGUAUGUAUGUAGACGCGCGUGUAUGUGGCAACGUGCAACAUGCUGUAAUUUCCGUGUUUAGAACUGUGUCGGUGUUGCCGCUAUUGUUGUUGUUAUAAUUAUUGCCGCCGUUGUGCAAAAACUCGACUCAAGUGUGGCAAACGGAUCGGUGAAUGUUGCUAAAUUCCUGUAAAUCAAAAUGUGGCACAUGCGAGUGAACGCGCUUGUAGAAAUAGACUUUCCGGUGGGCUGUUGCAGUUGGGCGAGCAAUCGCGGAGAACCAAUCGGGAAUGGCGAGAAAACAGAUUCUUCCAACCGCCAAGCUGAAUACAAAAACUACAUGAUUUUUUAAACAAACAGACUUCAAAAACGAAACGCUCAUUUGUCCGCCGUGCAGUAGGUGAUAAAGUUAUAGGAGAAAUUGCCUCCCAGGAAAUCCAAAAUUUAAAUCGAAAGG
Long non-coding RNA from Bactrocera dorsalis (oriental fruit fly), 4307 nucleotides. RefSeq lists it as uncharacterized. Lineage: Eukaryota; Metazoa; Arthropoda; Insecta; Diptera; Tephritidae. The transcript has 4 exons. The record is from RefSeq and is a predicted model, not a curated record.